AAGUAGCAGCGUGUAGCGAAGCCGUUUGGCCAUCUACCGUCCUUGCCGCAUCAGCACCCCUCUCGCCUCUCUUUCGUCUCUUGUUUGUUUGUAAGUACUAUUAUUACAUCGUUCAUUUCCUUGUCGAUCUGAGUGAGUGGGCCCGUCUUUGCGUUCUGCUCGUGGCUCGUUUCUUAUUCGGCUCUUCAUUACCAAUAGCACACACCUCGACAGACAACAUUGGCGCCGUCGCCUUCAUCACUGCAGCGGCUGUCGCACUUCCCCCCCCAACCUCCAUCCUCACCAAGACAACGAUAACGACUACGACCCCCUGUACGUUUUUUGCGGGCAAAGACCUAGCACGUGCCUAUCUGUCUUUUCGUUUCCUUGUUCCUUCGUACAUCUCGCUCACGCUCUCGUUCCUUUACUCGACUAACGAACUUCGUGUCCUCCACACCUUACGACCACAUAUAUUGUUCGUUCCGUUUCAGUCGCUUUCAUCGAAUACCUCCACUUGUGUGUGUCAGUGAGUGCUGUGCGCGGGCUCGCUUUUUUCAUUUCGUGCCCAUUCAAACACGCACACUCAUACCAUUGCGCAAACGGCUGUGCUCGACGACAGCAACACCACAGAAAGGAAACCAAGGGGAUCAACGCGUAUACGCACACACACACAGACGACCCGGCCUCUUCCGUAGGGUGCCCCUGUCGCGUGUAGUUUCCCGCUCUGUUUGGAUCCCCUUCGGGCUACAGAACGCCAAAGCACCCCGACAGAACCUCACCCGCCUCUUUUUUUCCGUCGGCCAAGCACCUCGCGCAUCAUGUCACUAUUCGGUGAGCCUCUACCCUUCGAGGAUGACACAGCGACCUCGCUCAUCCGUCGGGUCGGCUUCCCGCCGGAUAAGAUGUACGCCCAGAUGCCAGAGGUCUACCUCUGCCCGUGCUGCAGCGAGUUCAGCAAGCAGGAGGAGCGCGAGCGUCUUUUGCGCGAGGCCCGCGACGCCAAGGAGGCUGAGCGUCGCCGCCUCAUGCAGCUCGAUGUGUUCGAGGAGCGUGCGCGGCCGCUGCCCUCAGGCGAUAUCCGUCGCAAGGCAUACCGGCGGAUCAUGGAGGAUGAUGAACUGGCCGAGACCGCCCCGAGCGUGCCGCCACCACCGCAGACGAUCGAUGAACUGCGCCGCGCCAAGAAGGAUCAGAAGGUGCCGAAGCUGAUCGUCACGGUCCACUGUGGCCGACACGUGAGCGCUGAGCACGAUGACCGGAUCUCCGUGAUCGUGCGCUGCGGUGCCUUUGAGGGCCAGACCGAAAAGGUGCUGCGCGGCAAGGAGGUGAUGGUAACGUGGGAGGAGCUCUUCGAGUUCCCGUACAUCAACCACAACGAGCCACUGGAGGUGCUCGUCGUGAACGAUGCUCUCCCCGAGAAGAAUGACCAGCUGAUCGGCGGCGUGAUGAUCCCGUGCGGCGCCCUGCACGACCGCAGCCACGGCGACCAGGAGCCACUGCCGAUCAUGCCGGAGGACAGCAUGCAGACGGGCUACGGCAGCUGUCAAGAAGGUCCGCUGGGCACCAUCGUGGCCUCUUGGUACCUGCGCGGCGCCGACGACAAGAUGGACGAGGAGGCAAUCGAGCAGCAGACGCUAAGCGUGCCGCUCGGCUGUACCUUUGUGGUCCACCACUUAUUCCAGUUCACCGACUACGGCGCGGAGGCGUACACCGGCGGUGUCCUGUGUGUGCUGCGCGACACGGACGACAACUGCUCCGAGUCAGUGCUCUACAAGCCUGGGGCUCAGCCAGAGCCAUCGCUGUCGCCUUACUACGCCAAGGAUGGCUACUACUACCUCCCUGGGAAUCCGUCGCAGGUUAUGCAGCUCAACACCGAGAGGAAGCUGGGCCACAUCCUCGUAUGCGUACCGAAAAAGGAGGAGAGCUCGUCGGAGGAGGAGGAGCUUCUCGUCAUUGGCGCGGUGCCGCUGGAGUUCGAGCGUCUGUACAACAAGGGAAAUGCGGUGCUGCUGAUUGAGUCAAAGUCGAAGGAGGACGCCCUCUGGGGCGAGAUCGAGGUCGAGUGGGCGAACAAACCGCUGGAUGAUUUGGACCCGCACCCUUCCUCCCUGGCAGUGCAGAAGGAGUCGCUGUUUUUCACCAUCGUCCGCGGCUUCAACCUUGUGCGGCGUGACGGCGGGCCCGUAGCGGAGGGCUACGUGUCUGUUGCCUCUGGCGAGCUGGAGGGUGUCACCGUGGAGGCGCCGGCCACCCAGGACUCCGACGGCAACAACAUCAUCAGCUGGAACCAGGAGGUGCGCUUUGUGGAGGUGGAUCCAAAUGAGAAAAUUGUUGAAGUGCAGGUGCACGAGAAGGGCCGCCUCGUGUCUGUCGGCCAGUGUGAGGUAGACGAUGAAGAGGGGGUGGUUAUCAUUCAGAUGCACCAUGCUGCGAAUAUCAACGAGGAAGCUGGCGAAGUCGUUGGAAGCUACAAGCGUCUGCACGCCCCGCGGCCGGUGGAGGAGGACAUAUACCGGAAGCGCCGUGCUGCCGAGGAAGCAGCCUACAAGGGUGCUGACGAGGAGGACGAAGAGCAGGAGGAAGCUCACCCUGCCGCCGUGCUGGAUGAGAGCAACGUGCACGAAGACGAAGAGGAGGAAGAGGAAGAGGAAGAGGAGGAGCCGCAGGCGACGCGAGCACCCCCGAUGGCUGAUCGCGCCAUGAGCAUCAACGAAGAUCUUUCGGAGGAAGAGAAGGAGGUCGACGAGGCCGCGCCACACGAGACGCCUCAAUGGCAGAGGAGCCAACAGGGAGAGCAGGAGCCCGAGGAGGACGAGGAAGAGGUGCCACAGCAGCUCGAGUAUCUCGAAGAGGCGCAGUCUGAGGAGACGCAGCCUAAGGAAGAGCUGCAAGAGGAUGCGGCGCAAGAGCAGCAGCUUGAGCCGGAAGUGGAGGAGGAGCCGCAGCCCGAGGAGGAGGAAGAUGCCGAGCAUCUGGUUGAAGAGGCGUUGGAAGAGGUGUCAGAGCCCGAGGAGACGGAAGAGGGUCUGCGGCGGCCUGCGACGGCGUCGGAAGAGGCGUCGGAAGCCGCUUCGGAAUCCGAGGCGGGGGAAGAGGGUCUGCGCCGGCCUGCGGCGGCGUCGGAAGAGGCGUCGGAAGCCGCUUCGGAAUCCGAGGCGGGGGAAGAGGGUCUGCGCCGGCCUGCGGCGGCGUCGGAAGAGGCGUCGGAAGCCGCUUCGGAAUCCGAGGCGGGGGAAGAGGGUCUGGGCCGGCCUGCGGCGGCGUCGGAAGAGGCGUCGGAAGCCGCUUCAGAAUCCGAGGCGGGGGAAGAGGGUCUGCGCCGGCCUGCGGCGGCGUCGGAAGAGGCGUCGGAAGCCGCUUCGGAAUCCGAGGCGGGGGAAGAGGGUCUGGGCCGGCCUGCGGCGGCGUCGGAAGAGGCGUCGGAAGCCGUUUCAGAAUCCGAGGCGGGGGAAGAGGAUCUGCGCCGGCCUGCGGCGGCGCCGGAAGAGGCGUCGGAAGCCGUUUCAGAAUCCGCGGCGGGGGAAGAGGAUCUGCGCCGGCCUGCGGCGGCGGCGGAAGAGGUGUCGCAGCCCGAGGAGGAGCAGCCGGAGGAGGAGGAGUACCACGGAGAGCUGCACCGCCAGGAGUACGAGCCGGAAGAGGCGCAUCAAGUGGAGUUUGGCGAGUUUGAGGCUGAGCACUACCACGCCGCGGCGCGGUCUGCCGGCACGCCUACGGCGGAGGCGGGGGCGGCUUACCAUGCUACCGCCGGAGGACGGCAGCGCCGCCGUCCGUCGUGGGUGUCGCCUGCCACGAAAAGCAGCGGCUACAAGCAGCCAUGGUAUCCGUCUGGUGCUCCGGAAACAGAUCAGCACAUUCCCUUCUCCAAGACUAAGCUGUCAAAGAAGAACCUCGAGAGCAUUCGACAACUGGAGGCGUGCAAGUCGCGCAUCGAGGAGGAGUCGGUGCGCCGUAGCAGCACCCCUCGCCGCUCAAGCACGCGUGGCCUAUCCCCCAGCUCCCAGUAGGACUGCCGAGCCGCAUCCGGCCUAGCACACGUUGGCCGUCGAACGUGCGCCUCUCACACCACAACAGUUUUCCAGUGUGCAGGCAAGAAUGAGUCGGCUGUGUAAGUGGUGCUCACUGAGAGGGGGGAGGGCUGGCCUUCUGACACUCGUCUCGCCUUCGACCCUUGCCUCUGGUUCCUGUGGACAUGCAUGCAAAAUACACCAAAUGUACAUGAAUAUCUAUUAACGGCCGCACUUAUGCACACACUUCUUUUGCUGGUGUUGCACAUUGUACUGCCUGAUCGAUUUGCUGUUGUGGUUGCCAGUGACCGUUUUGACUGCCUUUUCGUGCUUGUGUGCGUUUGCAUGGCGGUUUGGCGGCUUUCCUGCUCGCCUCUGCGCUCCCUUUCCUUUUUGUUGUUAUUGUGGUUUCCCUGUACUCUCUCUGAGGCUGAAUUCUUCCCUUUUACAUGAACUUUAUGUACCUGUUCAUGAAUGCUUGAUUGUGUGUGGCUGCGUGUGUGUGCGUAUCUGUAUGUAUGUGUGCGAUUGUCGGACAACUCCGUGAAACCGUUCUGCGUUGACCGAUUCUCUUCUGGAUCUGGACUUCACGGGUAUUAGUAGUGGUAGGAUCGCGACCCGCUUGUGUAUCUGCGUUAAAAAACAUUGCUGCCUAUCUUUUGUAGCCAUAGUGGCGGCUUGAUAGAGGGUGAAGAGCGCGGCACCGUGAGUGCGCUCUUUUUCUCUCUUUUUGAGUGUAUCGAUUGUUCUCCCUGUACAUAUCGAUGAUCGUGCGAAAUCAUCCCUCGUUCUGACCCCAUCGCACGCCUCUCCACAUAGCGAGAACUUGUAUUCGCUGUACCCUAAUGAGUUCGCUCUUUUUUUCCCCCUUUUUGUUGUUUUCGAAUACCUGUACGGAAUCCUUCGUUUUUUUUUUUUGUGCUUUUUUGUACUUGUCUUUUCUAUUUUUUGCUUUCUGUGUGUCGUCGGCGAGCUGUGUGUGCUCUCCUCUCACUUUUCGUUGUCUUGAAUGUGUAUUUUUGCAAUAGUCGAAUAGAUGUUGGCCGUGCUGUGCAGAGAGGUGAGAUGAGGGUGAAAUCGAAUCGUUUUAUUCAGCUAGCGUGGAGGCCGAGGAGGGCGCUGCCUCUACUCUUUCGAUUCUCUCAGUAAAAUCCAGCAGAACAGCGAACUGAGCAGACGCCUGUGCUCUGUGUCAUGGCGCCGCUGGACGGCGACUCCUCAUAGUUGCUGGUUGGCUGCCACGGUUAGCGCGAGGAAGAAAUUGAAGGGACAAGAAAGACGGCCAUGUCGACAAACAAGAAGCGUAGAGCAAUGAGACGGAGCGGAACAAAAAGGAAUGAAGAAGGCUAUCGAUUAUUUUACUUUACCGUAGUUUGUUUUCGGACACCACCCAUCCUCUCCUUUAGACCGGCUGUGGACGCAGCUCCACUCACUCACACACGCCACGUUCUCCUCCGUCUUGUUUGUGUGUUAGCAGGGACUCUUGGAACGAUUCCCCGCCCUCUUCUGCUUGUCGCUUGCCUUAUCCUUGGUUCUUCCGUUUGUCAUCUCUUCCCCUCUCCUUUGUUUUCUUUGUCAUGCCUCAUCCCCCUUCGACGCAAGCGGACGUCUUCGUUUGUUUCUGAUGUUUGGCUCUUUUCGUCAUCCCGUGCUCGUAUAUAUUUAUGGGGGUUAGCCGAUCUCACUUUCUCGUCCUUUUCGGCACUUGUUAGACGUUUCGGUCGAUGUCUUCUUUUUACCUCCUUUUCUCUCGUUCAACGUGCUGUCAUUUGCUUUUUUUUUCUGAUUUCUUUCCUUCGUUCUCUGUUUUUCUUUAUCUCUGUGUGUGUGUAUGCUCUUGCCUGGCGCGCCCAGAAACUGUUUUGCAUGCGCAGCUGUGAAAGUUAUGACUUGUUCUUUUUAUG
Molecule: unclassified non-coding RNA, 5890 nt
Filed under: Leishmania donovani
Lineage: Eukaryota; Euglenozoa; Kinetoplastea; Trypanosomatida; Trypanosomatidae
Description: gene:LdHU3.14.1920(CDS-product:hypothetical_prote in_conserved)
Source: RNAcentral